CUUGAACAUAUUUGGUGGUGUUCAGGCUUAAUCUUAUUUUCUAUAAUAUUACAUAAUUUAGAUUCCUUUUUAUUUGAAAUAGAAAUGGGUUAUUUAGAUGAGAAUUUAUAGAUUGACGAUGUUGAAGAGCUGGCGGUCCUCACCGACAGUGUGAAUGUGCGAGACCACAUUCAGCUCACCUCAGAAAUCGGUAGAGGCAAUCGAUAUGAAGUGAGCAAAGCAUAGGACAAGAGCUGUCUGUCUCGUUUCAUCAGGUUGUUGUGCUUUCUCUGUCGACACCGUACUCAGAGCAGAUUCACACUGUGAGCAGAGAGCAUCUAAGCGGGAAACACCAUGGGUCUUAAGCUGGGCGUCGGGAAGUAUUCUCUUGUCCACCAAUCUUGCUUCGUCGCAGCUCUGAUUGUCUUGUUGGGCACACUGCCCACCUGCGACGGACAGACUACCACUAUAUAUAACGACAAUAACCAAGUGGACGCACUGAAAGACCUUUUGCGAGCAUGGAAUCAAACCCCCAACCUUGAGACUACCUUGGCUAAGUGGGACAUGGAUUCAACAUCUCCGUGCUUGGACGGAGGCAAUUGGCGUGGGGUGCAGUGUCUCAUCAACUGUACAUCAUAUGGCAAGGAUCAGAAUUGCUAUAGCUACAUUAUAGGCGUGACUCUCCAAAGUGCAUCACUUGUAGGCUCUAUACCAUCAACCAUUGGACACAUUACCACGCUGUAUAGACUGGAGUUGACAGGAAAUCCAGAUCUCACUGGACCUCUUCCAGGGACAUUGAAUCAAACUAGUCUUGCCAUUUUGGAUGUUCACGACAAUGCGUUGAAGGGUGAACUCCCUGAAUUCGGGGUCCAUUUCAUCUUCCUCUUGACAUUGGACUUAAGUGGCAACAAGUUUAAUGGGUCCUUCCCGAUUUCUCAAAUUAAUUGGCUGCCGUACAUCGAAACAUUAAGACUCGGCAGAAAUCGUUUUGAGGGGCCGGUCCCAGAACGAGCGUUUGAAAACAUGACCAAUCUUUUCGACCUGGACUUGUCAAGCAACAAGUUUAACGGGACACUGCCAAACCUGACAAUGAUACAUUCCUUACGCACUGUGGAUUGCCUUGGAAAUAUAACACAGGAUGUAGCACAAUGCAUCUUGCAGGAGAUUGUUAAUAUCAUCAACAAUCAAGCUCAGGAAUUUGAGCAGGAAUGGAUUUACAGGAUCGUUUCUGAUUUCGUCGUACUUCAACAGAACUAAGAAAUACAGCCUUCCAGUGUUGGAUAUAUCGCACAAUCCACUGACACUCGAUCAAAAUAUCUGGAGCGCGUACGAACUUGGCUCGGUCCAGGAGCUGUAAGCUCAUUUUAUCAAGUUCGAAAUUACAAAAAUCUAGAGUGAACAUGAUUUAACCGGACGCCAUGUAAUACACUUCCUUUAUCAUGCUUAAAAUACAUUUCAUUAUCCAGAAUAUUUUUAUCAGGUUGUAUUCAAGAUUUAGAAUUUCCGCAAUGCAGUUAUCAAAAUGUUGCAAUGCCACGGAAGUCGCCUCACAAGAUACAUUGCAUUAUCGGUAUCUCGACAACAUUCGCAUGGAUGCAACACUGAACAUCAGUCGACUGUAUGACCUGGGCUUGCUCAUGUCUAAAAACUCGACAGCAAAACCAAGCACGCUUACAGUGCUUUCAUUGAUGGACAACAACAUAAGCACUGUUGUCUAUGACGCAAAUUGUAUCAUUGAUAUCGCCACAGUUAUCAGACUACAAGGGACUCCCUUCUGCAAGGAUCCAUAUUCUGAUGACGGAAGGAGAUGUUUCUGUGCACAAAGUUGCUUCAACUCGGUUCCAAUGCAAGAAACCAAACGCAAGGUUACGAUAAUCGCUGUGGUGGUCAGUGUAACCUCAUCACUGAUCCUAAUGAUCAGUCUGGCUAUUCUAUUUCAUAGAAACAAAAAGCUCAAGCAAUAUCAGCUUCUGGUCCAACAAAAGUUUGAAGAGUUUGAGGUGAAGCCAAAAUUGUGGUGCUGUAGGGUCAAAGUCAACCCCAACGUCCCCACACGCGCAUGGACACAUGCCCACAUGGCUAUCUCCUUCCUGGCCCUGCCCGAGAGAGCGCCGGGCAGGGAGCGUGGUGGCGAGGGCAAGUCAGGCUCAGCAGCGCAAAUUUGUUGGUUUGAGAGUUGGUUCGUUCGUUUGGUUGUGGCCUUGCCUGGCGAAGGAGAGAGGGAGAGGAACUCUGACUGUGCUGCUCUUCCUCCUCCGCCACCUCGCAUUUCCGUUUAUUUCCCCUUCUUUUUCAACUUCAAUUCCACCCUCCCUCUCUCUCUACCCUGUCUCCCUAAUCUCACUGGAUCCUUCUCGCUCUCUCUCUCUCUCUAUUACCUAUUGGUCUCUCUGUCCCUCUGUGUGUGUGUGUGUGGAUUCUAUGCUCAUUUUGGCACUACCCACCAUAGCAUUGCCUUGAUUUUUCUUUUUUCUCUCUCUUUAUCACUAAUCUGGCGUGAUGUGCAGCGGUUUUCGGACCUUAGGGAUUCAAGAUGGGGUUGGACUGCUGUCAUUGGGUGUCUACGGUUCCAGUGGAUUGCAAAUUUGGAUCGUGUGUGUUGUGGGUUUGUAAAUUUGGGUGGUUGAAGGAGGGGAGAGGGAACUGGGCAGACUUGUGAGGUUUCGCGAAAGGUGCGAGCCGUGAUGGGUGCCGCUUGUGAAGGCGGAGUGAUUCUGUUGUGGGUUGCGUAGUUGAUUGGAGGGGCUGAAGAGGUUAUCCGAGGUAAUUGGGUGUUGUUUAGUGGGUUUGCAGAUUUUCUAGUUUUGUGCGUGCUUUGGACUGUUGAGCCUGUCCACCAGACUUUGAACCUAGGGUUUGAUAUACUCUCCAUUCAAAAUUUAUUUUUUCAUGUUAUUUUUAUUUUUA
Non-coding RNA from Physcomitrium patens, 2886 nucleotides. NCBI's taxonomy places the organism in Eukaryota, Viridiplantae, Streptophyta, Bryopsida, Funariales, Funariaceae. The record is from RefSeq and is a predicted model, not a curated record.